RNAcentral lists this ribosomal RNA (468 nucleotides) under uncultured bacterium. Its description in RNAcentral is "partial 16S ribosomal RNA". It matches the Rfam family "Bacterial small subunit ribosomal RNA", at positions 28 to 507 of the family's 1533-position model. The record is from RNAcentral.
GACGAACGCUGGCGGCGUGCUUAACACAUGCAAGUCGAACGGAAAGGCCCUGCUUUUGUGGGGUGCUCGAGUGGCGAACGGGUGAGUAACACGUGAGUAACCUGCCCUUGACUUUGGGAUAACUUCAGGACACUGGGGCUAAUACCGGAUAGGCGCUCCUGCUGCAUGGUGGGGGUUGGAAAGUUUCGGCGGUUGGGGAUGGACUCGCGGCUUAUCAGCUUGUUGGUGGGGUAGUGGCGUACCAAGGCUUUGACGGGUAGCCGGCCUGAGAGGGUGACCGGCCACAUUGGGACUGAGAUACGGCCCAGACUCCUACGGGAGGCAGCAGUGGGGAAUAUUGCACAAUGGGCGGAAGCCUGAUGCAGCAACGCCGCGUGCGGGAUGACGGCCUUCGGGUUGUAAACCGCUUUCGCCUGUGACGAAGCGUGAGUGACGGUAAUGGGUAAAGAAGCACCGGCUAACUACGUG